UGGGGAAUCUUGGACAAUGGGGGAAACCCUGAUCCAGCAACGCCGUGUGAGUGAUGAAGGUCUUCGGAUUGUAAAGCUCUGUUAGCCGGGAAAAAACUCGUGAGCAUCAGAUCCUCACGAUUGAUGGUACCGGCAGAGGAAGCACCGGCUAACUCUGUGCCAGCAGCCGCGGUAAUACAGAGGGUGCGAGCGUUAUUCGAAAUUAUUGGGCGUAAAGCGCAAGUAGGUGGUGAGAUAAGUCUUGUGUGAAAUACUCGGGCUCAACCCGAGAGGGUCAUAGGAAACUGUCUCGCUAGAGUGCAAUAGGGGAGAGCGGAAUUCCCAGUGUAGUAGUGAAAUACGUAGAUAUUGGGAGGAACACCGGUGGCGAAAGCGGCUCUCUGGAUUGUUACUGACACUCAGUUGCGAAAGCGUGGGGAUCAAACAGGAUUAGAUACCCCCGUAGUCCCUGAGCGGGCUGGCAAGGCGCAU
RNAcentral lists this ribosomal RNA (471 nucleotides) under uncultured bacterium. RNAcentral's name for it is "bacterial SSU rRNA". It matches the Rfam family "Bacterial small subunit ribosomal RNA", at positions 355 to 825 of the family's 1533-position model. The record is from RNAcentral.